RNAcentral lists this long non-coding RNA (3273 nucleotides) under Oryza sativa Indica Group (long-grained rice). RNAcentral's name for it is "lncRNA OsPr106_06g0001550". Lineage: Eukaryota; Viridiplantae; Streptophyta; Magnoliopsida; Poales; Poaceae. The record is from RNAcentral.
AAAACCAUUCCGAUUCCAUUUAAACAAAACCGCCAGUUCCCCACCCAAAAUUUCGAAGCUUCCUCACCUCUUUGCUUCCUCACCUUCUUGCCAGAAGCCUCACCCGACGAUCCUCACCCGACGCUCCGUGCCCCGACGUUCCUCCACGAUUACCUCCGGCUCUCCUUCCCCGAGCGCACGGGAAACUGUGAUCACUUUGGGUCUAGGCGUCUGAUAGAAUCAAUGGGCCCUUCUGGGAGGGAGGGAUCUGGAGAGGAGGUGAAUUUAGAGGUUGCAAAUAUGGGCGAGGCUGCUUCUACUGAAGAGGGGGAUGUUGAUGCUAUCAAAGAAGACGAGGCUGCUUCUACUGAAGAGGGGGAUGCUGAUGCUACCAAAGAGGGGGAGGCUUCUACUGCAGAGGUUGAAAUGAAGGAUCCCAAGAUUCAUACGCGGUCCAGUCCGAACAGCGUCAUUUUAGCAGCUCAGGAACUGUCAUCAGAUGCACGGAACGUGGUUAUAACAGCAGGCUUUGAGCAGUUACUGUAUAUGUCCUUAGAGGGUUUUGGUAACAGAGAGAUAUUGAGGUUUCUUAUGAACAAUACACAUACAGAACAAACAUCUGAAGGUGUUGAGAUUAAGAUUGAAGGAUCUAAGUUACCCCCCAUCACGGAGAAUGUGGUGGCACAUGUUGUUGGUGUUCCUGAAGGUUCUGAAGCCAAGGAGACCAAAGAUGUUGAGCUGGAAGUUAAGUGCUUCUUCUUCAUCGCAUUCCAUACACUGCUGCUCCCAAAAAAGGAUGGUUAUCUCACUCUACACCAGAUGCAAGCGGGUAUGAACCUUGCAAGGAUACAAAGAAUUAAUUGGCGCAAGGUUCUUCUCAACCAUUUAAAAGAUGGUGUUAAAUCAUGGUGGAAAUCGCAAGCCAAAUCAACCAAGCCUGGUGCCAAAUCAACCAAGCCUGGUGGUGUCGCGUCUGUAUACAUAAGUGGUCCUGUGACUGUGCUUCUUUUAUAUUACUUGGACUUCCUAAAGUCAAAAUCCGAAAGCGAUGUCUCUCAGACGCCAAGAAUUUGUUACUACGGCGAAUCUAUGGUGACCGAUUUGGUGCAGGAAACUAUGCAAAAGGAUGGCAAGAGGUUUGACAACCUCAAGUUUCGCACAACCGAAGAGACCUGUUAUUCAAGAAGCUAUAAUGAAUGUGAGAAGGUGAAGGUGCAGAAAGUGUCUGGAAAGCAGAAAAAAAAUAAGCGCACUCGUCUUGGCAAAAACAAAGCGAAAAAGGGGAUAAAGAAGAAAAGGGCACGCAUGUCAACCCCGCGCGACGCUAUCAAGACUGUAAAGCAAAAUCAUUCGUCGAUUGUAGAGAUGUAUGAGAAGAUCAUGAAGACUCAGUCACAGAUGCCCUCGAAAAUGGAAAGCUUGGUAGACAGAUAUAAAGAUUUGGAUGAGUUCUAUUCAAAACACAUUAUGUCAAAAGCCGAUUGGGAACAGAAACAUUUCGGCAAUAAGGCUGCGGUGGAUAUUAAUGGCAUUACCAUUGCAGAACAUGAUUUUGUAAAAAGCAUGAAACUGAAUGGAUGGAUAAGUAACUUCAUUGUGGACGUGCAAUGCUCCAUAUGGAGGGAGGAGGAAGAAUGGAAAGACAAAAUAAUCCUUAGUCAAUCUGCUGUGAAUGAACUGUUGGGUUUAACCCAAAUCAGAGGCUAUGUGGAAAAGGAGUUGUCUAACCUAGCCAAAAAGAAGCAGAUAUUUGUCCCUAUCCUCGUUCGAGCUUUGGAUGGUUCUGGUUUACAUUGGUACUUGCUCGUGGUGGACAUUGAGAAUGGAAUAAGAUCCGAUUGUGGAUUCUAUAUGCUGCUGUAUAUGGAACGAUUUGGUAGAAUGAAAAUAGAUGACAUCAAUGAGAAUGAUGUAUUAAUGUAUCGCAAAAAACUUGUGAAGGACAUAUAUGAGAAUCCUAACAACAAUCCUAAGGAUAUUUGCGAAAUUCCCCUCCACGCCCAAAAUCUGACAGUAUCCCCCAUGAGUCAUGAAGAUGGGCGUAAUGAUGGCCCUCUGCCACCAUCCUCACCAGGGACAAGCGAUGACAAUGAACGCUCAAGGACAAGCGAUGAUGAGGCUGGAGGCAACGAGGUGGAUGAAGGUGAAAAAGGGGUGCCAUCAUCCCCACCACGCAGAGAACAAAAUCCAUCCCAUGCCCUCGAUAAAGACAUAGUUUAUUAUUCUAGAAAGAAGAAAGAGAAGAAAAGGAAAGAGAAGAGCAGGUCAAGCUUGGAUAAUGACUUAAUUCAACUGGGCAAGAGGUGCCGAAUUGCAACUACCAGGACUGCUAUAAAGACUACUAGACGCGAGUGGCCUGAUGAUGCGAUAGUUAAAGAGGUUUAUGAGCUUGCCACUGAUUGUAAGGAACAAGUAAUAUUGAAUUUCGGAGCUAUCGCAAUGACUGGUUCUGAAAUAGAACAGUCGUUCCAGAAAGUUGAGUGUGCCGGGGAUAUUAUCUCAUUAUUUAUUAAAUACCUGGAGAACAAUACGUAUCCUGAUGACAGCAGGAUCUUUGUCCCACCACUAUACAAGGGCAAAGGAGGUAUGAAGAAAAAGAUUAAAGAUGCACUCGGUGGAUCCAACGAAAAGAAAUCAGCAGUGGAGUUUCCUCAUCGAUUUAUAUACUGCCCUGUCUUAUUUCUCUGGUGAAUGGAUUGUGGUCUGUUUCCAACUGAAGAAUAUGAAACAGAUCGGUAUUCUUUGCAACAACGGUGGCGACGAAAUUAAAAAUUUCGCUUUGGAUUUGGGAAAGAAAUUAAACAAAGUCUUAGGAGACUGCAACUACAAAACAGUGUCAUUUGAUGAAAAAUCUCUGUCAUUUUUUCCGUCUUGUGUACAGCCCAAUGACAGUGUGUUCGCAGCCAUGUAUUUUCUUGAACAUUUCAUAGGUGUGGCAGGAGUGCUCAACAAGCUGACUUGGGAUGAAAAGAUGCGGGAUCAAUACAUUAAAUCUUACAGUCGAGGGAUUUUGACAUGCCUUAUCCAGCACAAGGAAAACACUGCAGAUGUGCCUGAUGGAAUUUUAGCAUUGCUCGAAUAGCUAUCUAGAUGAAUUUCUAUCUUAGCACUUAGUAUUUUGCUAUGUGAACUGUGGUCUUUUUUGCCAACAAUGUGUACAGCUAUUUAACUGUUGGUAUUUGUGGUAAAUACUACCGUGAACCUGUGAUGGCUUAUAUACUUAUUAUUAUCAUCGCUGUUGGUUCUUAUAUUACCUGACCUUGUGAGCUCUAUUAUGCGACCUGUGAUGGCUUA